CUCACACACAUGCAUACAGACGUUCCACUAACACACACCCAGUGUUUAUUUGACUUCUGUAAUAUUGCACGAACGUCCUGAGUGUUUGACAAUUAUAUCUGUGAUCUCGGGACGUUGACUAACCCGUUGAAACACGUCUAUUUAAAAUGUGAUUGCGCGCUGUACUUGCCCAACCUGGGUCACCAUGUAAUCUGUCUCCUCAGACGUGAAUGAUUUUACCAGAUGGAUUUAAUGGAAUGAUGAACAGCACUUGUCCGGAUUAGAGCUGAAACUCCUCCACCCUUUGGACAAAGAGGGAGAGAGGGGGAGGUCACAUGACUUGAAUGACACCAGCUUUAAGUCUUAUGUGCACAACUGCAAAGGUUAAGUAAUUGUGUACAAUGUCAGCGGUAGCUUUGUGUCAAACAAAAACAGACCACAUGCAUUUGUGUGAUGCACUCAACACUUUCAGCCACCACACAACAGCACACAUGCAGAAAAGUUUGGGGUCAGUAGAAUUUCAGGGUUUUUUU
Molecule: long non-coding RNA, 512 nt
Organism: Sinocyclocheilus grahami
Lineage: Eukaryota; Metazoa; Chordata; Actinopteri; Cypriniformes; Cyprinidae
Exons: 2
Source: RefSeq, a predicted model, not a curated record